Molecule: ribosomal RNA, 514 nt
Filed under: Salmonella enterica subsp. enterica serovar Johannesburg
Lineage: Bacteria; Pseudomonadati; Pseudomonadota; Gammaproteobacteria; Enterobacterales; Enterobacteriaceae
Description: partial 23S ribosomal RNA
Rfam family: Bacterial large subunit ribosomal RNA
Source: RNAcentral
GUGUGACUCGUCACACUAUCAUUAACUGAAUCCAUAGGUUAAUGAGGCGAACCGGGGGAACUGAAACAUCUAAGUACCCCGAGGAAAAGAAAUCAACCGAGAUUCCCCCAGUAGCGGCGAGCGAACGGGGAGGAGCCCAGAGCCUGAAUCAGCAUGUGUGUUAGUGGAAGCGUCUGGAAAGGCGCGCGAUACAGGGUGACAGCCCCGUACACAAAAGCGCAUGUGCUGUGAGCUCGAUGAGUAGGGCGGGACACGUGGUAUCCUGUCUGAAUAUGGGGGGACCAUCCUCCAAGGCUAAAUACUCCUGACUGACCGAUAGUGAACCAGUACCGUGAGGGAAAGGCGAAAAGAACCCCGGCGAGGGGAGUGAAAAAGAACCUGAAACCGUGUACGUACAAGCAGUGGGAGCACCCUUUGGGGUGUGACUGCGUACCUUUUGUAUAAUGGGUCAGCGACUUAUAUUCUGUAGCAAGGUUAACCGAAUAGGGGAGCCGGAGGGAAACCGAGUCUUAAC